RNAcentral lists this ribosomal RNA (637 nucleotides) under Hollisteria lanata. Its description in RNAcentral is "eukaryotic LSU rRNA". The stretch from base 258 to 413 matches the Rfam family "5.8S ribosomal RNA". Lineage: Eukaryota; Viridiplantae; Streptophyta; Magnoliopsida; Caryophyllales; Polygonaceae. The record is from RNAcentral.
UCGAAACCUGCACAGCAGAACGACCGGCGAACCCGUUUACCAACCCCUGGGGGGGUGGGGCCAGCCCCGUCCCCCCGGGCGCCUGAGAGCACCUCUCUGUUCGCCCUGUCGAGGGGAAUGGCGGAUCGGCGCUUGACGGCAAGUACCCAAACACCGGCGCGGGUUGCGCCAAGGACCGUGAAGUAUUCUGCCGCGCCCCGCGGCCCCGGGCAACCGGGUGCUGCGGUGAGGGCGCGUGGAAGGACCUAUAACAAAACGACUCUCGGCAACGGAUAUCUCGGCUCUCGCAUCGAUGAAGAACGUAGCGAAAUGCGAUACUUGGUGUGAAUUGCAGAAUCCCGUGAACCAUCGAGUCUUUGAACGCAAGUUGCGCCCGAAGCCAUCCGGCCGAGGGCACGUCUGCCUGGGCGUCACGCAUCGCGUCGCCCCCUCCCCCUCCGUGGCCCACGUUGAGCGGAGWGAGGGGCGGACCAUGGCCCCCCGUGCGCCCCCGUGCGGUCGGCCCAAACACGGAGCCCGUGGACGCGAGCGCCGCGACGUUUGGUGGUUGAACCUCGAGCAUCGCGUCGCGAGCCGGAGCGUCCCCGAAGAGCUCGGAGGACCCUUAGGCGCAAAAGCAGCCUACCCUUGCGACCCC